Molecule: ribosomal RNA, 1215 nt
Filed under: Triticum aestivum (bread wheat)
Lineage: Eukaryota; Viridiplantae; Streptophyta; Magnoliopsida; Poales; Poaceae
Description: partial small subunit ribosomal RNA
Source: RNAcentral
AUGGCCAGCGGCAACGUGUCCACCGUCUACAUCUCCGUCAUCGACGACGUGGUCGCCAAGGUUCGUGAGGACUUCAUUACCUACGGCGUUGGUGAUGCCGUCCUCAACGAGCUCCAGGCUCUCUGGGAAAUGAAGAUGCUGCACUGUGGCGCAAUCUCAGGGAACAUCGACCGCAACAGGGCUCCCCCCGCUUCCGCUGGAGGCGCUCCUGGUGCCGGCGCGACCCCACCCGUGCACGACCUCAACGUGCCCUACGAGGCCACGUCCGAGGAGUACGCCACCCCAACCGCCGACAUGCUGUUCCCACCGACGCCGCUGCAGACCCCGAUCCAGACACCACUUCCAGGGAUUGAUACAGGGAUGUAUAACAUACCCACGGGGCCGUCGGACUAUGCCCCAUCGCCGAUCAGUGACAUGAGAAACGGGAUGGGGAUGAAUGGGUCUGAUCCAAAAACUGGCCGUCCAAGCCCUUACAUGUUUGUUUUGCAGCAACCUCCAUCGCCCUGGAUGAAUCAGAGACCACUGGGGGUUGAUGUGAACGUUGCUUACGAGGAGAGCCGUGAGGACCCAGACCGGAUGAUGCAACCUCAGCCACUGACUAAGGAUUUUCUGAUGAUGUCUUCUGGAAAACGGAAGAGGGAUGAAUAUCCUGGUCAGCUUCCUUCUGGUUCAUUUGUGCCACAACAGGAUGGAUGUGCAGACCAGGUUGCCGAAUUUGUGGGGUCAAAGGAUAACGCACAACAGGUGUGGAAUUCCAUCAUGAACAAGCAAGAAUCAGUAACAAAGACACUUUCUAUCGAAGAAAGCACAAUACCACCAGUUCUUCCUCAACGGGACGGGAUACAAGAUGAUUAUAACGAUCAGUUUUUCUUCCCAGGAGUUCCAACCGAAGACUACAAUACCCCUGGGGAGUCUUCGGAAUAUCGAACUCCCACACCUGCUGUUGCAACACCAAAGCCAAGAAACGAUACGGCGGGUGGUGAUGAUGAUGAUGAUGAUGAACCUCCUCUUAAUGAAGAUGAUGAUGACGAUGACGAGAUAGAUGACUUACAGGAUGGCGAUGAGGAACCUAACACGCAGCACCUUGUCCUGGCACAAUUCGACAAAGUAACAAGGACAAAGAAUCGCUGGAAGUGCACUUUGAAGGAUGGAAUCAUGCAUUUGAAUGGCAGAGAUGUUCUAUUCAACAAGGCUUCAGGAGAGUUUGAUUUUUGA